Molecule: ribosomal RNA, 509 nt
Filed under: uncultured bacterium
Lineage: Bacteria
Description: bacterial SSU rRNA
Rfam family: Bacterial small subunit ribosomal RNA
Source: RNAcentral
GGCGGCGUGCCUAAUACAUGCAAGUCGAACGGUCUUCCUAUGGAAGCUUGCUUCCACUGAGAAGAUAGUGGCGAACGGGUGAGGUAACACGUGGGUAACCUGCCCAUAAGAGGGGGAUAACAUCCGGAAACGGGUGCUAAUACCGCAUAGUUUUCUUGAUCGCAUGAUCGGGAAAGGAAAGACGGCCUUUGUGCUGUCGCUUAUGGAUGGACCCGCGGCGUAUUAGUUAGUUGGUGAGGCAACGGCUCACCAAGACGAUGAUACGUAGCCGACCUGAGAGGGUGAUCGGCCACAUUGGGACUGAGACACGGCCCAAACUCCUACGGGAGGCAGCAGUAGGGAAUCUUCCGCAAUGGACGAAAGUCUGACGGAGCAACGCCGCGUGAGUGAAGAAGGUUUUCGGGAAUCGUAAAACUCUGUUGUCAGAGAAGAACAAGUUGGAGAGUAACUGCUCCAGCCUUGACGGUAUCUGACCAGAAAGCCACGGCUAACUACGUGCCAGCAGCAGC